CUGUCAAUUCCACACCCCUAACCGCCGCUGCCCCACGUUUCUCUCGAUAGAAUUAGUAUCUCUACCGCGGAGCUACGAGUGUUUGGAUAAUAGCAGAGAAACCCAGGGUCAUCCAUUGAAGAUGAAGGCUGAUAGAUUCAGGACAGACAAAAAAAGGACUCCGCCACACAGUGCUUAGUGAAAACCAUGGAAUUUGCUCCCAUGAGAUGGGCACCAAUUUGGAUGGCUUUAAAAGCGCUUCAAGCAACCUCUUCAUGUUCUACAUGCCAGCCCUUCAAAUAUUGGAAGACUGCUAUCACAUCUCGCCUUACUCUUCCCCAGGUGCUGUCACUCUCUGACUCAUAAAUUCAUCGUUUUGACUCUAGAGGAGGGACAACUGGCAUUAUCAGGUGUGCAACCCAACCUAUGCUACAUUGACUUGGAAGGAAAUACCACAGAGUUAAGCGAGACUUACACCCAAGUUAGUGUGAGUGCAUAAGAUUUCCACUUCUCUUCCUGGUUACCUCUGUGCUCUACAAACUAGGGCAUAUUUUGGGUUGGGCUUUUGAAUCUUUAUCUCUAGUGAUUAGGGUUUCUAGUUUUCACCUGUUCAGGCCAAGUUUCAUUCCCAGUAAAGGAAUUUACAAUACCUUUGGGCAGUGGAGUCCGGUUUCCAUUGGGACAGGGUGCAAGGAGGCCAGCGGUAAAUAGAACCAGAGCCAAUUCUAAUGGGGAGCUCUCUAAUUCUGGUUUUGUCCCCAUCCUUCUCCCUGCUGAAUUGUACAACGGCAACACUGGAUUGAACAAAGGCAACAUCCCUGUUGCUACCACCUAUGUUUCUUGAGCUAGGAAGGCAAGCAGAGCCACCCCAGGCUCUGUGAGUACAGGGGGAGGUCUUGGCAAUACAACUUGCGGAGGACUCCUUCCUUGACCCUGCUAGAGGCAUCUACUUUGAGCUCCUUCUCCAGUCUGUUUCCUGGAGUGAGAGAGCAGGUGACAGCUGCUCCUUGUACCUGGCAGCUGUCAAGCGUCAAGAGCAGCAAGCAGCCUGUUCUCCCCCUCUGGGCAGUGAUGCAGAUUUCCAAUCCUCACCACUGCCCAGAGGGACAGGGCAGGUGUGAACAGCUUCUCCUGUUCCUUGUAGGCCCUCCCAGGGCCUUUUGACCCACAGAUGCUACCUUCCAAUACCAACCCUAGAGGCAAGGGAAUGACUCUCGCUACCACUGCUCCUGCCCCAUCCUUUUUCUCUUGCAAAACAGGCAGCCAUUGUGGCUAGUUUUCCUCCAGUUCCGAUAACUAAUCUCUCGAAAUAACUUUACAACUGUGUUUAGCCCCCUUUCCCAGUCACACCGAGGUUUCAGAAGGGGCGGUGGCCUUCCUGUACAAACUGGUUUGCAGAGCGGGGGCCGGGCUUUGCUGCGCCUUUUAUCUGAAAGAGGACCUGGCUCGGGUGACUUGCAAGCGAGAUCUAUACCACACAACAGCCUGAGUCAUUCAGAGCCUUUCCUUUUAGUCGUCUCAAAGUUCAGCUAUCUGUGUUUGAGAAAAUGAAAAUGCAAACACACUUCAGUUUCAGGCAGCUGACUACAGAGGGUGAUGCAGCUGGACACAGCCUUGAUUUCAUUGGAAUGUCCUCCUUAGUAAGUAUGCUUAUAAACACAGCCUUAAUGAGAGAAGGGCCUCUUCACCUUCCAGAGUUAUUUUUCUCUGAGCUGUUAAGAAACCAGAAGGUAGAAAACAAAGUUCUUUCAAAGGCGCUGGUCCCACAAUAUCCCCCAAACUUGAACGGCUCAUAGACGAUUAAAAAAAAAAAUUCCUACGAGCCAGGUUAAUUAAAGUAGUGUUUAGAGACAGUAUAGCUGUGUUUACCACACACAAGUGGUGCUUACGACCAUUCAGAGAAUGUGCAAAGGCAUGAGGUAUUCAGGGCACAUUUCCACGGGGCAGAUUAAGAGGCCCGAUGGGCUGUAGUUGGCCCCCCGGCUAGAGGCUCCCCCCGCCCGCCCGCCCCGAUACCCUGCAGCUUGAAAGAAGUGGUGAUUUGGCUCACCCUAGACUCACUGGUUUGAGCCUGGGACUGAAUCGGCUUUGGUCAUCUUGAUAGAUGGCCUUCAUCGGGAAUAUAGGUGGGGCUGAAGUUGCCCCAGAAAAUGUCACUGGUGCAAAAAAAGUGGCAGCUGGGCUACUCGUUGGAAAGAAU
This is a long non-coding RNA of Podarcis raffonei (Aeolian wall lizard), 2179 nucleotides long. RefSeq lists it as uncharacterized. The transcript is spliced from 3 exons. The record is from RefSeq and is a predicted model, not a curated record. Lineage: Eukaryota; Metazoa; Chordata; Lepidosauria; Squamata; Lacertidae.